AAGCAUUUUUCUUUUCUUUGGUACAGAUUGUUUUGCAUUUACUUCCUGAAGCAAUAAGUAGUUAUCAGACACUAUGUGCCAUUUCCUCUGACUUUUGACACACUUCCUUUUCAGAAAACUGAAAAAAAAUAAUAAUCAAAGUUCUACUUUGUUUAUCCUGGAUUUCCCAGUCUGAUGAAAUAUGUUGUUACACUACAUGAUCUGAACAAGAUUUUACAAAUGAUCAAAAUGUGACUUUUAUUGGAAAAUCAUGUCUUAUAAAUUGAGAUUCUUUGUACAUAUAUCUUAGUGUUCUUAACUGAUAAUACCUCUGGAGGCACCUUAAAGACAGAAAUAGCUAGUGCAUCAUUUUGGAUCUUAAAUUCCAUCCAUGACUGAGCAGAGCCCAGAAGCAUUUAUUGCAGAGUGCUUGACUUCCCCAGGAAGCUAAUGAUGGGGAUAGGAUGCCUGAACACAAGUAGAUACUACAGUCAGAAAGUGAGUGAGUUGCAAAACCAAAAUGAGAACCCAACAUUUUAAAAUUGCAGGUUGUAGGAAAUGAUUACUGUGAAGCAUUGAGUCAGACAUGGCAUGGUACAUACAGAAUGAAUCUGGGAUGCUCCCUGUUCAGUGUCCAGAUGAAAAAUAUGGUGUGUAUUUGACAUAUUAUUAAAGCCACAAUUUAAUAUGGAUUAUAUGGAUUUGCGCAGCUGGGACAGCCAUGAUAUUAUGACCUUCAAGAAACUGAUUUAUGCUACUGGUAGUUUUGCUGCUUCCUUCAGGAACAUGAAUCUUUUUCAGCUUUGUUUAUUUUUGCUGGAUAAGAGAACUUCAGCCAUCAAGCUUAUCAACAGAUGGUUUAGUUGCUGA
This 849-nucleotide long non-coding RNA is filed under the name Anser brachyrhynchus (Pink-footed goose). Its description in RNAcentral is "lncRNA (ENSABRG00000000838.1)". The record is from RNAcentral. Lineage: Eukaryota; Metazoa; Chordata; Aves; Anseriformes; Anatidae.